GAUGAACGCUGGCGGCGUGCCUAAUACAUGCAAGUCGAGCGAACAGACGAGGAGCUUGCUCCUCUGACGUUAGCGGCGGACGGGUGAGUAACACGUGGAUAACCUACCUAUAAGACUGGGAUAACUUCGGGAAACCGGGGCUAAUACCGGAUAAUAUAUUGAACCGCAUGGUUCAAUAGUGAAAGACGGUUUUGCUGUCACUUAUAGAUGGAUCCGCGCCGCAUUAGCUAGCUGGUAAGGUAACGGCUUACCAAGGCAACGAUGCGUAGCCGACCUGAGAGGGUGAUCGGCCACACUGGAACUGAGACACGGUCCAGACUCCUACGGGAGGCAGCAGUAGGGAAUCUUCCGCAAUGGGCGAAAGCCUGACGGAGCAACGCCGCGUGAGUGAUGAAGGUCUUCGGAUCGUAAAACUCUGUUAUUAGGGAAGAACAAAUGUGUAAGUAACUAUGCACGUCUUGACGGUACCUAAUCAGAAAGCCACGGCUAACUACGUG
This 497-nucleotide ribosomal RNA is filed under the name uncultured bacterium. Its description in RNAcentral is "partial 16S ribosomal RNA". It matches the Rfam family "Bacterial small subunit ribosomal RNA", at positions 28 to 507 of the family's 1533-position model. The record is from RNAcentral.